CAUGCAAGGUCGAGGGGCAGCGGGGGUAGCAAUACCUGCCGGCGACCGGCAAACGGGUGCGGAACACGUACGCAACCUUCCUUUAACUGGAGAAUAGCCCCUCGAAAGAGGGAUUAAUACUCCGUAACAUAUUGAUAAGGCAUCUUAUUAAUAUUAUAGUCUUCGGACGGUUAAAGAUGGGCGUGCGCCUGAUUAGAUAGUUGGUGAGGUAACGGCUCACCAAGUCUGCGAUCAGUAACUGGUGUGAGAGCACGACCAGUCACACGGGCACUGAGACACGGGCCCGACUCCUACGGGAGGCAGCAGUAAGGAAUAUUGGUCAAUGGACGCAAGUCUGAACCAGCCAUGCCGCGUGGAGGAUUAAGGCCCUCUGGGUUGUAAACUCCUUUUAUCUGGGAAGAAAUGCCAUUUUUCUAAAUGGUUUGACGGUACCAGAGGAAUAAGCACCGGCUAACUCCGUGCCAGCAGCCGCGGUAAUACGGAGGGUGCAAGCGUUAUCCGGAUUCACUGGGUUUAAAGGGUGCGUAGGCGGGCANGUAAGUCCGUGGUGAAAUCUCUUGAGCUUAACUCAGAAACUGCCAUGGAUACUAUUUGUCUUGAAUACUGUGGANGUAAGCCGGCAAUAUGGUCAUGUCGCGGUGAAAUGCUUUA
Molecule: ribosomal RNA, 651 nt
Filed under: uncultured bacterium
Lineage: Bacteria
Description: bacterial SSU rRNA
Rfam family: Bacterial small subunit ribosomal RNA
Source: RNAcentral